RNAcentral lists this long non-coding RNA (1441 nucleotides) under Brachypodium distachyon (stiff brome). RNAcentral describes it as "long non-coding RNA (BDIS_LNC001663)". The record is from RNAcentral. Lineage: Eukaryota; Viridiplantae; Streptophyta; Magnoliopsida; Poales; Poaceae.
ACAUCAUAUAUCACAAAAAUAAUACAAAAUCUUUUAUUACAAACAAAUAUUUCAAAAAUUACAAAGAAGUCUUUUUAAUUUUACAUUUCAGCCCUUGGACUUUUCUUAGCAGCUAAGAAACCUCUAGGUGGGCCCAUUUGCAUGUGUUCCAUUUGUCACUUGCUGCUUGCCAUUUGGCUCCCUUCCAGCAAGAUGAGAAGCACAUGGUAGCCAUGCACCUAGGUGACUAACAUUUGUCAUUCACCACUGUAACAAGAAAAAUACUAUAAAUACCACAUUUUCUUUUACUGUGGUUUCUUUCCACCGACCACCAAGUAACUUUCCACCUCCACUUGAGUUUUCCACCUCCUCUUGCUGCACUGCACGAAAUUGACAGGUAUAAACACUAUUAUUGUUUUGCUUGUUCUUGAUUAUCUUGCUUGCAUGAGAUGCAAUAGAGUAAGUAUAGUUAGCACUUUAAAAAUCUAAGACAAAGACUUUGAUCUCUGGUUGUAUAUGUGUUUUCACCUUGCUAAUGUUUAGGAGAAAAUAAUACCCUUACACUGCUACUGUUAGAAUUAGAUCACAUCACCACUUCGCUAGUUUAAUCACUAUUUUGACUCCCCCCACACACAAACCACUCAAUCGUUUGCACAUGCGCAACACUAGAAAAUUUUGUCACAUGGCAGUACAUUAUUAGGAUAUAUUUGAUCCUAAUUUAUCAGCAUCUUUUUGUUCUCAUGCACACAAUUAACUUAAAUCCCUGCAUAUUAACAAGAAUCAUCUUUCUCUAAAAUGAACAGAACAUAGUAAGCUCAAGUAAAUCAAGAAACACUCACACAUCAAUUCCUUAGUUGACCAUCUAACACUAAAAAGCAACCAUGAACAUUAGAAGUUGCUGCCAAGGAGAGAAAGGACUUAACUUCGCUGUUAAGGGUACUUAGCAUUAGGACGUGCACCGCGGACCGCCAGUUCCAACGCCGGCAAGCUGGGAAGGAGUAGGAGUGACCCCAGCCUCGCUGUCGCUGGCGACGGCCGUGGCACCCGAGCUGUGCCGUGAAGCCAUGGCAGUCCUCGUCGAUGUAGUUGUGCAUGCUGCUAGAGAACUCGUAGGAAGAAGCGCCGUGGUUGCCGGAGACGAUGAAGUAGGCCUCGCCGGACCCGAGGGAGAUAGAGGCGGCCAUGGUAGCCCAAGAACUAGGGUUACAUUUUCAGGGUGAGUUAGUGGCGUUUUGUGGAAAUAAAUUUGGGGAUCUAGGAGAGGAAGGAGAGAGGAACCCGGAGCCGGGCUCAGCACGGCCGGGCAUGGCCGGAGCAAGGAGAUCGAGUGGGGUGGCUGGGGGUGGCGUGAUGUGCUCGGUCAUGAGAGAAAGGCAGAGGGAGAUAAAAAAAAAGAGGAAGAGAAAGAGUUGUCCCAUGCGCGAUAAAAGGAAAGGGCAAGACGCGGCUCGCUAUUCUUUUC